This is a ribosomal RNA of 343 nucleotides. The stretch from base 1 to 105 matches the Rfam family "5.8S ribosomal RNA", at positions 50 to 154 of the family's 154-position model.
GAAAUGCGAUAAGUAAUGUGAAUUGCAGAAUUCAGUGAAUCAUCGAAUCUUUGAACGCACCUUGCGCUCCUUGGUAUUCCGAGGAGCAUGCCUGUUUGAGUGUCAUUAAAUUAUCAACCUAUUUGUCGUUAUUGGCAAAUAGGCUUGGAUGUGGGGGUUAUUGGUGGCUUUCUAGUCAGCUCUCCUCAAAUGUAUUAGCUGGUUGCCUUGUGUAAACUUGUCUAUUGGUGUGAUAGUUAUCUACGCUAUGGGCUGUUUACUGAUUUAGCACUGCUUCUAACUGUCUUCAGACAAUAUAUGACCAUUUGACCUCAAAUCAGGUAGGACUACCCGCUGAACUUAA